RNAcentral lists this ribosomal RNA (430 nucleotides) under bacterium. Its description in RNAcentral is "partial 16S ribosomal RNA". It matches the Rfam family "Bacterial small subunit ribosomal RNA", at positions 355 to 776 of the family's 1533-position model. The record is from RNAcentral.
UGGGGAAUAUUGGACAAUGGGCGCAAGCCUGAUCCAGCCAUGCCGCGUGUGUGAAGAAGGCCUUUUGGUUGUAAAGCACUUUAAGCGAGGAGGAGGCUACUUGGAUUAAUACUCUAGGAUAGUGGACGUUACUCGCAGAAUAAGCCCCGGCUAACUCUGUGCCAGCAGCCGCGGUAAUACAGAGGGUGCGAGCGUUAAUCGGAUUUACUGGGCGUAAAGCGUGCGUAGGCGGCUUUUUAAGUCGGAUGUGAAAUCCCUGAGCUUAACUUAGGAAUUGCAUUCGAUACUGGGAAGCUAGAGUAUGGGAGAGGAUGGUAGAAUUCCAGGUGUAGCGGUGAAAUGCGUAGAGAUCUGGAGGAAUACCGAUGGAGAAGGCAGCCAUCUGGCCUAAUACUGACGCUGAGGUACGAAAGCAUGGGGAGCAAACAGG